Aquila chrysaetos chrysaetos is the source of this 945-nucleotide long non-coding RNA. RefSeq lists it as uncharacterized. The record is from RefSeq and is a predicted model, not a curated record. Lineage: Eukaryota; Metazoa; Chordata; Aves; Accipitriformes; Accipitridae. The transcript is spliced from 7 exons.
UCCUCUUCCCUGUGGUUAAACCUUAGGAAGGAACAUGAACAGAUCAAAGUGCUGAGAGAUCAUGGAAGCUGUCCCUUUUGGGUCAGUUCUUCCUUCUGCCUCUGCAGGUAAAACCAAACUAACUAUAAUCAACUAAAUUUGGGUGCUCUGUCACAGUGAGAUAAGAUACCAGGCCUGAAGUGGAAGAAAUAUUUACAUAAUUGUUUCUGGGAACAACAAAAAUUUCAGGAACACUUGGAAGAUGAAUCUUACAUUAAACUUCAUGAUUUAAAAACCUAUUUCCAAAAGCUGGUCCAGAAGAAUACCCGAAGUUUGCAUAUGAUAGGUACACUUUUCUGUAUCUUCUCUAGUUCUCCAGGGUCCACUUUCAGAUGUGGGGAAGUAGAACUGCACUCAAUAUUCAACAAGAUUUAUUCUGUACUCCUUUUCCAACUAUGUCUACUAUUCUGCUGCUUUCAUGAUCUCUUGUACGAGUCUAGAAUGCCAUUGUUUUCCCUAUCUUGCUACACUGACUUCAUAAACCCUGUUAUGAAGUGCUUGUUUUCCGCUCAUCAUCCUGGUCUCUGCUCCUCAUGGAUCUCUCACUGGUAUUUUCCACAUCCUUCUUCAAAUGUGGACCACAAAUUUCAACACAGAGGUUGCUAAAUCUGCUAAAUUGUAUCAGAGAAUCAGUUUAGAUCUGCUUCUCAAAGAUCUGUGAACACUUGAGGCCAAACAUAUCUGAAUUUUGAGGAAGCUCAGACUGAGGUGUGAUUCCAGAACUUUGUGAUAUAAGAAGAAACCUGUGCUGAUUUCCUACAGGGAUGACUAUAAGGAACAAACAAAACUACUAUUGCUCUAUUAACCUGAAGAUUAUGAGGGGAUUCAUACCAAAGAGCUGCUGGUGAAUUAAGUUUAUAACUACCUAUAUUAAUCUUAAAAUUAAUAAAUUAUCAUCAUACUGAA